This 212-nucleotide unclassified non-coding RNA is filed under the name Hevea brasiliensis (rubber tree). The record is from RNAcentral. Lineage: Eukaryota; Viridiplantae; Streptophyta; Magnoliopsida; Malpighiales; Euphorbiaceae.
AUAAUGCCAUAAUGUCACGACUGACAAACCAAGACCAAGACCAGGAAGUUAAGGAAUGUGCUAUUUCUUGCAUGGGGCUCGUCAUUUCAACAUUUGGUGACAACCUCAGAGCAGAGUUACCUGCAUGCCUUCCUGUACUUGUUGAUCGGAUGGGGAAUGAAAUAACACGCCUUACAGCGAUGACAGCAAAAGCCUUUACCGCUGUAAGGCGU